Molecule: ribosomal RNA, 264 nt
Filed under: uncultured bacterium
Lineage: Bacteria
Description: partial 16S ribosomal RNA
Rfam family: Bacterial small subunit ribosomal RNA
Source: RNAcentral
CCCUAGUGGCGGACGGGUGAGUAACGCGUGGGUAACCUGCCAUAUACAGGGGGAUAACACUUAGAAAUAGGUGCUAAUACCGCAUAAGCGCACAGGGGCGCAUGCCCCGGUGUGAAAAACUCCGGUGGUAUAUGAUGGACCCGCGUCUGAUUAGCCAGUUGGCAGGGUAACGGCCUACCAAAGCGACGACCAGUAGCCGGCCUGAGAGGGCGGACGGCCACAUUGGGACUGAGACACGGCCCAAACUCCUACGGAAGGCAGCAG